UCCAGGGCUCCCCAUAGUGUAUAUUAAAGUUGUUGCAGUUAAAAAGCUCGUAGUUGGAUCUAGGGACGCGCAUUUCAAGCGCCCGUGUCGUCGGGUCAAACCGGCGACUGCGUUGGCGUUGCGGGCUCGGUCCGUCGGUGCCCCACAAAGGGCUACUGGCGUGUCAACCGGCCCGCCCGUCCCCUCCUUCUGGAUUCCCGUUCCUGCUAUUGAGUUAGUGGGGACGUCACAGGGGGCUCAUCGUUGUGCGGCGUCAAAACCGUGCGGCGGUGGGUCCCUGGGGCCCAGAUCGUUUACCGUGAAAAAAUUAGAGUGUUCAAAGCAGGCAGAUCCAAUUUUCUGCCACCGAAUACAUUAGCAUGGGAUAAUGGAAUAGGACCCUGUCCUCCUAUUUUCAGUUGGUUUUGGCAGCGCGAGGACUAGGGUAAUGAUUAAUAGGGAUAGUUGGGGGCAUUAAUAUUUAAUUGUCAGAGGUGAAAUUCUUGGAUUUAUGAAAGAUUAACUUCUGCGAAAGCAUCUGCCAAGGAUGUUUUCAUUAAUCAAGAACGAAAGUUAGGGGAUCGAAGACGAUCAGAUACCGUCGUAGUCUUAACCAUAAACGAUGCCGACCAGCGAUUAGGAGACGUUGAAUACAAAACACCACCAUCGGCGCGGUCGUCCUUGGCGUUGGUCCUUCACGGGGCCGGCGCGAGGGCGGCUUAGCCCGGUGGCACCGGUGAAUGACUCCCCUAGCAGCUUGUGAGAAAUCAUAAGUCUUUGGGUUCCGGGGGGAGUAGGUCGCAAGGCGGGGCUUAAAGGAAUGACGGAAGGGCACCACCAGGAUGACU
Molecule: ribosomal RNA, 827 nt
Filed under: Acanthamoeba sp. CRIB-24
Lineage: Eukaryota; Discosea; Longamoebia; Acanthamoebidae
Description: SSU rRNA
Rfam family: Eukaryotic small subunit ribosomal RNA
Source: RNAcentral